GCGUCCUUGGUGUAGCGGUAACACACAAUCUAUCAAUUCUGGAUGGCUGUAUAGGAGUAUUUAGAUUGGGUCCGGGGUUCGACUACCCGAGGGUGCA
This is a non-coding RNA of Mycena leptocephala, 97 nucleotides long. The record is from the annotation of a GenBank genome assembly. Lineage: Eukaryota; Fungi; Basidiomycota; Agaricomycetes; Agaricales; Mycenaceae.